This 73-nucleotide transfer RNA is filed under the name Archaeoglobus sp. RNAcentral's name for it is "tRNA-Val". It matches the Rfam family "tRNA". Rfam says of the family: Transfer RNA (tRNA) molecules are approximately 80 nucleotides in length. Their secondary structure includes four short double-helical elements and three loops (D, anti-codon, and T loops). RNAcentral also lists the same sequence under 5 other names. The record is from RNAcentral. Lineage: Archaea; Methanobacteriati; Methanobacteriota; Archaeoglobi; Archaeoglobales; Archaeoglobaceae.
GGGCUCGUGGUCUAGGGGUUAUGACACCGCCCUUACACGGCGGAGAUCGCCGGUUCGAAUCCGGCCGAGCCCA